Molecule: long non-coding RNA, 614 nt
Filed under: Mus spicilegus (steppe mouse)
Lineage: Eukaryota; Metazoa; Chordata; Mammalia; Rodentia; Muridae
Description: lncRNA (ENSMSIG00000010300.1)
Source: RNAcentral
GUAGACAGGUGUGUCACCAGGCUGUAGCUCCAGCUGUUUGUUUAGGGACAUCAGUAGUGAAUGAUGGCCAAUUGCCUGGACUAUCUCCCAGAUGAGCAACAUGCAGCCUAACGGGCUAAAAGACUAUGCAGGUCAGGAAUCCCGUCCAUCUGGAAAAAGCUUCCGUAAUUGCCAGAAGGUCCCUGGGGUUUCUGGGGACCCAGGACACAGAAGUUCAAAGUCAACUUGACAGUCUUCUCCUAGAUAUUCAUAUGGAGUUUCUGUCAUCGAGCCAAAAUGGAGAACUGUGUGUUGUAAUCGUGCAGGGCCUGGAAACUGCUGCAGCCACUUUAGAAGGGGCUGCUGAACUGCAAACGGCCUCAGUCUAUUCCACAGGACACCUCUUCAUUCUGUCUCUGAGGAACCCCAAGGCUGUUGCUAACAGUGAGUGGAGCCUGAAAGAAAAGUGGAAGCUCUCAACCGGCCAGAAUAAUCUGAAUUAACUGCAGGACAGAUCCCAAAUGCUCAUGGGAAGGUUUUGGUUUUUUGUUCUUUCGUUUCUGGGGAUAGUCUAAUGGAAUGUUUAUAACAACAACAAAAUGAGUAAUUAAUAAAUGAAGACUCAAUGAAUGGCA